AACGUAGGAGACAAACGUUAUCCGGAGUUACUGGGCGUAAAGGGCGUGUAGGCGGUUUGUUAAGUCUGGCGUGAAAGCUCUCGGCUAAACCGGGAGAGGGCGUUGGAUACUGGCGAACUAGAGGAUGGUAGAGGCGUGUGGAAUUCCGGGUGUAGUGGUGAAAUGCGUAGAGAUCCGGAGGAACACCAGUGGCGAAGGCGGGUCUCUGGGCAACAACUGACGCUGAGGAGCGAAAGCGUGGGGAGCGAACAGG
This 253-nucleotide ribosomal RNA is filed under the name uncultured bacterium. RNAcentral's name for it is "partial 16S ribosomal RNA". It matches the Rfam family "Bacterial small subunit ribosomal RNA", at positions 524 to 776 of the family's 1533-position model. The record is from RNAcentral.